This 379-nucleotide ribosomal RNA is filed under the name uncultured eukaryote. RNAcentral describes it as "partial 18S ribosomal RNA". It matches the Rfam family "Eukaryotic small subunit ribosomal RNA", at positions 592 to 975 of the family's 1831-position model. The record is from RNAcentral.
CAAUAGCGUAUAUUAAAGUUGUUGCAGUUAAAAAGCUCGUAGUUGGAUUUGUGGUGUACUUCGGCGGCCCGUCACUAUGUGAUGGAGCUUGCUGAAGUCGCCAUCCUUGGGUGGAUCCUGUGUGGCAUUAAGUUGUCGUGCAGGGGAUGCCCAUCGUUUACUGUGAAAAAAUUAGAGUGUUCAAAGCAGGCUUAUGCCGUUGAAUAUAUUAGCAUGGAAUAAUAAGAUAGGACCUUGGUACUAUUUUGUUGGUUUGCGCACCAAGGUAAUGAUUAAUAGGGACAGUUGGGGGUAUUCGUAUUUCAUUGUCAGAGGUGAAAUUCUUGGAUUUUUGGAAGACGAACUACUGCGAANGNAUUUACNAAGGAUGUUUNCAUUA